Molecule: long non-coding RNA, 662 nt
Organism: Eupeodes corollae
Lineage: Eukaryota; Metazoa; Arthropoda; Insecta; Diptera; Syrphidae
Exons: 3
Source: RefSeq, a predicted model, not a curated record
UCUAUAAUUUUAGUAAAUAAUAAUAAUUUACGUCAAACAUGCAAAUUUAACAGAAAAAAAAGCCUCCACAAAAUUAGUGCCACUUUAUUUUUAAAAUAAAAAAUAAAAACAAAAAAAAAGGUUCUGAAAUUGAAAACUCUUUAGCACCCUCUGCCUUCACAUUUUUAACUCGGCGCAGGGCCGAGGUUUGGUUUGCUUGCAUAAGCUUUAUUGUUUGUCGAGCGUCGUCGUCGUCGUCGUUGUGGCGUUCAAAGAACUUCCGGCGGAUAAAAGUGCUGAUGCAUCUAAAAUACCGAUCUUCCUAAUUAAUGCAUGUAAAGCACCGUGCGGUUAAAAUUGGAUCAAACGUUUUUUUCGGCGUACCUAUGUAACUACCUGAAUUGGAAAAUAACAAAAUUAAUAACAACUUCAGGUACACAGAACAGUAUUUUCAAUCAGCUGACUGUCAAAACUGAGUGAAAUAUGACAGAAGUGUUCUCCCACAGACCUGUUUGAUUACAAAUUUUGUGUAGCCAGUGGUGAAUUCAAUUUGUAUCUAUUACUAAAGGUUUAUCCACAAUUAUGGAGAACAUUUUUAUUUUGAUUAAAUAAAGGAUACCACAAAAAAAAAUGAUUUUGUCUGGAAUAUACUUAAAAACUUUUCAAAAAGGAUUUACUCGUAU